This 87-nucleotide transfer RNA is filed under the name bacterium TMED161. RNAcentral's name for it is "tRNA-Leu". It matches the Rfam family "tRNA". Rfam says of the family: Transfer RNA (tRNA) molecules are approximately 80 nucleotides in length. Their secondary structure includes four short double-helical elements and three loops (D, anti-codon, and T loops). Further hydrogen bonds mediate the characteristic L-shaped molecular structure. tRNAs have two regions of fundamental functional importance: the anti-codon, which is responsible for specific mRNA codon recognition, and the 3' end, to which the tRNAs corresponding amino acid is attached (by aminoacyl-tRNA synthetases). tRNAs cope with the degeneracy of the genetic code in two manners: having more than one tRNA (with a specific anti-codon) for a particular amino acid; and 'wobble' base-pairing, i.e. permitting non-standard base-pairing at the 3rd anti-codon position. The record is from RNAcentral. RNAcentral also lists the same sequence under 1 other name.
GCCGAGGUGGUGAAAUUGGUAGACGCGCUGGAUUCAAAAUCCAGUUCUCUUCGGAGAGUGUGGGUUCGAGCCCCACCCUCGGUACUA